Molecule: ribosomal RNA, 119 nt
Organism: Callithrix jacchus (white-tufted-ear marmoset)
Lineage: Eukaryota; Metazoa; Chordata; Mammalia; Primates; Cebidae
Source: Ensembl
GUCCACGGCCAUACCACCCUGAACACGCCCAAUCUUGUCUGAUCUUGGCAGCUAAGCAGGGCCAGGCCUGGUUAGUAUUUGGAUGGGAGACCACUUGGGAAUACCCGGUGCUGUUGGGU